GCCCUACCUAAUAUGGAGGUUAUGACACUCGGCUUGGAAUCGAGUGGGUUCGGGUUCGAAUCCCGAAUAAGGCA
Non-coding RNA from Trichonephila clavipes, 74 nucleotides. NCBI's taxonomy places the organism in Eukaryota, Metazoa, Arthropoda, Arachnida, Araneae, Nephilidae. The record is from the annotation of a GenBank genome assembly.